CAUUCAGAACUUGUCACCCUGAACCAGCCCGAUCCCGACUGAUCUCGGAAGCUAAGCGGGGUCGGGCCUGGCUAGUACUUGGAUGGGAGUACUUGGAUGGGAGACCACCUAGGAAGACCAGGUGCUGUAAGUGU
This 134-nucleotide ribosomal RNA is filed under the name Pteropus vampyrus (large flying fox). Lineage: Eukaryota; Metazoa; Chordata; Mammalia; Chiroptera; Pteropodidae. The record is from RNAcentral.